This is a non-coding RNA of Engraulis encrasicolus (European anchovy), 380 nucleotides long. NCBI's taxonomy places the organism in Eukaryota, Metazoa, Chordata, Actinopteri, Clupeiformes, Engraulidae. The record is from the annotation of a RefSeq genome assembly.
AUCUGAAGAAAAUGACAAACAACAUUAAAUUCAUCUGGACUCUCCUGCUCUGUAUUACAGUAUGCAGAGGCCAGUAUACUGUGACUCAGACUCCAGCAGUGAAAGCUGCUCUUGUGGGACAAACCAUCACACUCAACUGCAGGACCAGCAGCCUCAUCUGGAGUGACCGCUUUUCCUGGUACCUCCAGAAACCUGGAGAAGCUCCUAAACUGUUAAUGUAUUAUAUAAGCACCCGCUCUGGAUCAACUCCCAGUCGCUUUGUUGGUGGAGGAUCCAGUGGUGGCAGUGACUUCACUCUGACCAUCAGUGAUGUCCAGGCUGAGGAUGCAGGAGUUUACUACUGUCAGAGUCUCCAUAGUGGCCCAGUGUUCACACAGUGA